Molecule: non-coding RNA, 245 nt
Organism: Camelina sativa (false flax)
Lineage: Eukaryota; Viridiplantae; Streptophyta; Magnoliopsida; Brassicales; Brassicaceae
Source: RefSeq, a predicted model, not a curated record
UGAUUCUGCUUUCUUCUCGCAUUCUCUCAUUUAGGAGUGGGGCGUUGAUGUUCUGACGAUCUGGUUUUGGUAGAUCUGGGAAGGGUCAAGGUCUCUGGGGUCUACUUUUGAUUUUGUGAAUCUUGAAGUGAAGUGUAAUAAUAAAGAAGAUAUUAUGACAAGUGCACUUGGAUGGAGAUUUUCUUCCACUAAUGGGAAUGGCCUUGCCCCAAGCGAGACGGAGAGAAAUGGGGAUAUGAAGAUGC